Molecule: ribosomal RNA, 473 nt
Filed under: uncultured delta proteobacterium
Lineage: Bacteria; Deltaproteobacteria
Description: bacterial SSU rRNA
Rfam family: Bacterial small subunit ribosomal RNA
Source: RNAcentral
CGUGAGUGAUGAAGGCUUUCGGGUCGUAAAGCUCUGUCAAGUGGGAAGAACCUGCUCGAUGUUAACACCAUCUAGCACUGACGGUACCACUAAAGGAAGCACCGGCUAACUCCGUGCCAGCAGCCGCGGUAAUACGGGGGGUGCAAGCGUUAUUCGGAAUUAUUGGGCGUAAAGGGCGCGUAGGCGGUCUCUAAAGUCAGAUGUGAAAGCCCGGGGCUUAACCCCGGAAGUGCAUUUGAAACUCAGGGACUUGAGUAUGGGAGAGGGAAGUGGAAUUCCUGGUGUAGCGGUGAAAUGCGUAGAUAUCAGGAGGAACACCAGUGGCGAAGGCGACUUCCUGGACCAAUACUGACGCUGAGGCGCGAAGGCGUGGGGAGCAAACAGGAUUAGAUACCCUGGUAGUCCACGCAGUAAACGGUGAACACUAGGUGUAGCGGGUAUUGACCCCUGCUGUGCCGCAGCUAACGCAUUAA